UACAGAGGUCCCAAGCGUUAUUCGGAAUCACUGGGCUUAAAGGGUGCGUAGGCUGCGCAGCAAGUUGGGUGUGAAAUCCCUCGGCUUAACCGAGGAACUGCGCCCAAAACUGCUGUGCUCGAGGGAGAUAGAGGUGAGCGGAACUUAGGGUGGAGCGGUGAAAUGCGUUGAUAUCCUAAGGAACACCGGUGGCGAAAGCGGCUCACUGGAUCUCUUCUGACGCUGAGGCACGAAAGCUAGGGUAGCGAACGGG
Molecule: ribosomal RNA, 253 nt
Filed under: uncultured bacterium
Lineage: Bacteria
Description: partial 16S ribosomal RNA
Rfam family: Bacterial small subunit ribosomal RNA
Source: RNAcentral